UUCUGUGUCCCCACCCUUCUCUUUUCAACUUACUUGAGGUGUUCUCUUCCAAAUCUGUGAUUUUCAAUAUCUAUCCAUAUGCCAAUAAGUUAUGCCACUUUGUAAUUUCAGCCCAAAUCUCUUUUGAGGGCCAUUUCCUUGCUUUCUCCAUAUCUACAAUUACAUGCUUCAUAUUUCUGAAGCUCAGCAAGCCUAAAACUGAAUUUGUGAUCUUUAUUAUAAAAUUGAAGGGUAACUAUUGGGUAAUUUUAAGCACAGGAGUGAUGUGGUAUGAUUUAUUAUUUUCUAAAGCUCCCUCUAGCUGCUGGUUGGAGAAUGGCUAAUGGGACACGGUAACACAGAUGCAUGGAGGUCAUUUAGAAGACUAUAGAAGUACUUUCCUAAAAAGAUUGUGGUGGCUUGGACUAGGUGGUAUAUCAGUGGUUGGAAGUGGUUGAAUAUGAGAUGUAUUUUGAAAGUAGCAUUAAUAGGAUUUGCUAUGAGGUGUGAAGGAGAGAGAAGAAUCAAGAUGAUUGCUAACAAGGCUAGAUGCGGUGGUUGACGCCUGUAAUCCCAGCACUUUGGGAGGGAGGCCAAGGUGGGUGAAUCACUUGAGGUCAGGAGUUUGAGGCCAGCCUGGCCAACAUGGCGAAACCCCGUCUCUACUAAAAAUAAAAAAUCAGCUGGGCGUGGUGGCGCGUGCCAUUAGUCCCAGCUACUCGGGAGGCUGAGGCACAAGAAUUGCUUGAACCCAGGAGGCGGAGGUUGCAGUGAGUCAUGAUUGCACCACAGCACUCCAGUCUAGGUGACAGAGCGAGACUCUGAAAAAAAAAAAAAAAGACUCCUAAGUUUUUGUCUUGAGCAAUUGGAUAGAUGACAGUCUCAUCAAAUGUGAUGGAACAGAUCUGAAGCAGCAGGAUUGUAGGGGGCAAAUCAAGAGUGUUGUUUUGGCAGUGUUAAGCAUGAGCCACCACACCCGGCCUAUAUUUUUGUUUUGAAGAGUCGAAGCUAUCACGUAGGAAGGUUGGCACUUUGAAUAUAUAAAAAUUAAAACUCAAUGAAUAAAAGUUCAGACCAGUAAUAUAUUUAUAUGAAACUGGAGAGGCAUACAUUUAUUUAAAAAUUUAAGAAGUACAUUUGUGUUGGCGUCACACUGUUAUGUUGC
RNAcentral lists this long non-coding RNA (1144 nucleotides) under Homo sapiens (human). Its description in RNAcentral is "HSALNT0128959". Lineage: Eukaryota; Metazoa; Chordata; Mammalia; Primates; Hominidae. The record is from RNAcentral.